GAUGAACGCUGGCGGCGUGCCUAAUACAUGCAAGUCGAGCGAACAGACGAGGAGCUUGCUCCUCUGACGUUAGCGGCGGACGGGUGAGUAACACGUGGAUAACCUACCUAUAAGACUGGGAUAACUUCGGGAAACCGGAGCUAAUACCGGAUAAUAUAUUGAACCGCAUGGUUCAAUAGUGAAAGACGGUUUUGCUGUCACUUAUAGAUGGAUCCGCGCCGCAUUAGCUAGUUGGUAAGGUAACGGCUUACCAAGGCAACGAUGCGUAGCCGACCUGAGAGGGUGAUCGGCCAGACUGGAACUGAGACACGGUCCAGACUCCUACGGGAGGCAGCAGUAGGGAAUCUUCCGCAAUGGGCGAAAGCCUGACGGAGCAACGCCGCGGGAGGGAUGAAGGUCUUCGGAUCGUAAAACUCUGUUAUUAGGGAAGAACAAAUGUGUAAGUAACUAUGCACGUCUUGACGGUACCUAAUCAGAAAGCCACGGCUAACUACGUG
This 497-nucleotide ribosomal RNA is filed under the name uncultured bacterium. RNAcentral describes it as "partial 16S ribosomal RNA". It matches the Rfam family "Bacterial small subunit ribosomal RNA", at positions 28 to 507 of the family's 1533-position model. The record is from RNAcentral.